UGCCACUCCUUGUUUUUUCCUACUAGAUCUAGUAUUUUUAUCUUCGACCUUGUAGUCUUGUAGUUUUUUCCUAAAAAUCCAACAAAUCUUGUAGUUUUCAUUCAAAGGAAAAAAAUGCGAUAAUGUUUCAUGUUUUUUACUUACUAAUUACGUCUACCUAAGUAUACCCUUAUAUGAAUCUCAUACUCCUCGUUUUUUCUAAUGAAGAACAGUGAGACGCGUCUCGUUCGCGUUCAGUAGUCAGUACGGGAGUCCAUCGUAGCAAGUACCGGGCGAGAGCUGAACUGGGUUCUUAUUCCAACUUCCCUCAGUUUGGUGAAGAUCGUGGUCUUAAACAGGCAUAGUGAUAAGUGACAACAAUGAGCGCAUCACAGAGCAAGGGACUUGGAUGGAUACAGGCUACUCCUGUUGACUAAGCAGUAAUGUGUCCUCCAGCCAGGCACAGCUCUGGGCCUUGAAGUGUGACCCUGAGCUCAUCCAAAAUGAGCGGAGCAACGUGUGUUUCUUCAGGGACAGCAGAGGGGCACUUGGAGCACUGACGAGUGGGCAGCCAGCACAUGCACACGGUGUGAGCGAGUGCACAAAACUUAUUACAAGGAUCGGAGAGGAGAGAAACUUGACAUUGAUUUGGGUACCAUCCCAUGUUGGUGUGUUAGGUCAUGAAAAAGCUGACCACUUAGCACAAAAUGGAACAGAAAGAGAUCAAACUGUAGAACAAGCUUGUCACAAAUAGAUAAGAAAAUGACAAAUAUACAUGUUGAGCAAGAACAAGGUGCAAUUCUACAUAAAGGCGAAGUGAGCUAGUGAAACAAUGAAACACUACACCAAAGCACAAAGUGGCGCCAAUUUCACAUCUGGAAAAUAUGGAGUCAGCUGGAAAGACAGCGUGUGUGCCGGACUGAGCUUUGGAUACAAACAUUACUGGGAACUGGGCGUGUCAUGUGAGGCUCCGGCCAGGAGGAGUGUCGCCCAUGCUGUGAGCCUGACGCCCACUCCGUGCUGCAGUGCCCCGAGCUGGCAUGUGCCACAAAUAAUGCCAUCCACACCACAUAUGGAUGUUUAACAAUGGGAACAUUACACAACUGCUAUUGCUAUUCAAAACAAAUACAUCAAACAACUUAUACGCUACAUUGAAAACAAGUUAUAUAUGUGUAUAUGCAUAGAAUAGCUAAGUAUUCUGCACUAACAUUACUUAUAUAUUGUAAAUAUAUAUUAUAUAAUUAUUA
Portunus trituberculatus (swimming crab) is the source of this 1226-nucleotide long non-coding RNA. RefSeq lists it as uncharacterized. The record is from RefSeq and is a predicted model, not a curated record. The transcript is spliced from 2 exons. Lineage: Eukaryota; Metazoa; Arthropoda; Malacostraca; Decapoda; Portunidae.